This 354-nucleotide unclassified non-coding RNA is filed under the name soil metagenome. Its description in RNAcentral is "partial contains 5.8S ribosomal RNA, internal transcribed spacer 2, and large subunit ribosomal RNA". The stretch from base 1 to 120 matches the Rfam family "5.8S ribosomal RNA", at positions 35 to 154 of the family's 154-position model. The record is from RNAcentral.
GAUGAAGAACGUAGCGAAAUGCGAUAAGUAAUGUGAAUUGCAGAAUUCAGUGAACCAUCGAAUCUUUGAACGCACAUUGCGCCCCCUGGCAUUCCGGGGGGCAUGCCUGUCCGAGCGUCAUUUCUGCCCUCCAGCCCGGCUGGGUGUUGGGCGCUGUCCCCCCGGGGACACGCCCCAAAGGCAGUGGCGGCGCCGCGUCGGGUCCUCGAGCGUAUGGGGCUUUGUCACCCGCUCGGGACGGACUCGUCGGCGCUGGUCUUCCUCCAGGCGACCCUUCGGGGCUCGUCUUCCUUCGGUUGACCUCGGAUCAGGUAGGGUUACCCGCUGAACUUAAGCAUAUCAAUAAGCGGAGGA